RNAcentral lists this ribosomal RNA (489 nucleotides) under uncultured bacterium. Its description in RNAcentral is "bacterial SSU rRNA". It matches the Rfam family "Bacterial small subunit ribosomal RNA", at positions 28 to 507 of the family's 1533-position model. The record is from RNAcentral.
GAUGAACGCUAGCUACAGGCUUAACACAUGCAAGUCGAGGGAAACGGCAUUUUAGCUUGCUAAGAUGGACGUCGACCGGCGAAUGGGUGAGUAACGCGUAUCCAACCUUCCGUUAAGUAGGGAAUAGCCUUGCGAAAGUAAGAUUAAUGCCCUAUGUGGUGUUUUGAGGACAUCUGAAGAGCACCAAAGGUUUACCGCUUAACGAUGGGGAUGCGUCUGAUUAGGUUGUUGGCGGGGCAACGGCCCACCAAGCCUACGAUCAGUAGGGGUUCUGAGAGGAAGGUCCCCCACAUUGGAACUGAGACACGGUCCAAACUCCUACGGGAGGCAGCAGUGAGGAAUAUUGGUCAAUGGGCGUGAGCCUGAACCAGCCAAGUAGCGUGCGGGACGAAGGCCCUAUGGGUUGUAAACCGCUUUUUCAGGGGGAUAAAGUGAGUGACGUGUCAUUCAUUGCAGGUACCCUGCGAAUAAGGACCGGCUAAUUCCGUG